GUGAGGAAUUUUCCGCAAUGGGCGAAAGCCUGACGGAGCAAUGCCGCGUGAAGGAUGAAGGCCUAUGGGUUGUAAACUUCUUUUCUCAGAAAAGAAUUAUGACGGUAUCUGAGGAAUAAGCAUCGGCUAACUCUGUGCCAGCAGCCGCGGUAAGACAGAGGAUGCAAGCGUUAUCCGGAAUGAUUGGGCGUAAAGCGUCUAUAGGUUGUUUAAAAAGUAUUCUGUCAAAGAUUAGGGCUUAACCCUAGAUAGGCAGAAUAAACUUUUAAGCUAGAGUUUGGUAGAGGCAGAGGGAAUUCCCGGUGGAGCGGUGAAAUGCGUAGAUAUCGGGAGGAACACCAAAGGCGAAGGCACUCUGCUGGGCCAAUACUAACACUGAGAGACGAAAGCGAGGGGAGCAAAUGGGAUUAGAAACCCGAGUAGUCC
This 426-nucleotide ribosomal RNA is filed under the name uncultured bacterium. RNAcentral describes it as "bacterial SSU rRNA". It matches the Rfam family "Bacterial small subunit ribosomal RNA", at positions 354 to 796 of the family's 1533-position model. The record is from RNAcentral.